This 398-nucleotide ribosomal RNA is filed under the name uncultured microorganism. RNAcentral describes it as "bacterial SSU rRNA". It matches the Rfam family "Archaeal small subunit ribosomal RNA", at positions 330 to 735 of the family's 1478-position model. The record is from RNAcentral.
GUGCAGCAGGCGCGAAUACUUUACAAUGUGCGAAAGCACGAUAAGGGAACUCUGAGUGCCUCCUAAGGAGGCUGUUCAGGUGUCUAAAAGCACCUGGAGUAAGGGCUGGGUAAGACCGGUGCCAGCCGCCGCGGUAACACCGGCAGCCCAGGUGGUAGCCACUUUUAUUGGGUCUAAGGCGUCCGUAGCCGGUUGAGUAAGUUCCUUGGGAAAUUUGGCUGCUCAACAGUCAAGCUUCCAGGGAAUACUGCUCGACUUGGGACUGGGAGAGGUCAGAGGUACUCCAGGGGUAGGGUGAAAUCCAUUAAUCCCUGGGGGACCACCGGUAGCGAAGGCGUCUGACCAGACCAGGUCCGACGGUGAGGGACGAAGGCUAGGGUCGCGAACCGGAUUAGAUA